RNAcentral lists this non-coding RNA (23 nucleotides) under Arabidopsis thaliana (thale cress). Lineage: Eukaryota; Viridiplantae; Streptophyta; Magnoliopsida; Brassicales; Brassicaceae. The record is from RNAcentral.
GGCUCGAUGGUGUCGAUCAACAC